AAAGAUAUAGCAUAUUCUUCUGAAUAUACUUUAUUAAACCCAUUCCGAGUACCUUACCCGUUGCUUCCGCGAGGCUGUCCUCACGGCCCUCUGAAGAUUUAUCUUUGGGGAGUCCUUGCGGAAGGUAUACAAUAAACUCUUGCAUUACCAUGUCAUCUGUCUGAAUCUGUUUUAAAACAAAUAUUA
Molecule: unclassified non-coding RNA, 186 nt
Filed under: soil metagenome
Description: partial internal transcribed spacer 1
Source: RNAcentral